UACAGAGGGGGCAAGCGUUAUUCGGAAUUAUUGGGCGUAAAGGGUGCGUAGGCGGCCUGCUGCGUCGGUGCUGAAAGCGCCCGGCUUAACCGGGCGAGGCGUGCCGAUACGAGCGGGCUGGAGCCUUGGCGAGGGUGGCGGAACUCCUGGUGUAGUGGUGAAAUGCGUAGAGAUCAGGAAGAACACCCGUGGCGCAAGCGGCCACCUGGCCAAGAGCUGACGCUGAGGCACGAGAGCGUGGGGAGCGAACCGG
This 253-nucleotide ribosomal RNA is filed under the name uncultured bacterium. Its description in RNAcentral is "partial 16S ribosomal RNA". It matches the Rfam family "Bacterial small subunit ribosomal RNA", at positions 524 to 776 of the family's 1533-position model. The record is from RNAcentral.